CCCUACGGGGUGGAAGAUUCAAGGAAGGGACGGACCCGCUUCUCGAGCGGUUCAGCGCAUCCAUUGAUUUCGAUCGCAAGCUCUACCGGCAGGAUAUCGAGGGAAGCCGUGCGCACGCCGAUAUGCUCGAAAAGAUCGGCAUCCUGACGUUGGCCGAAAAAAAGGCGAUCAUGAAAGGUCUCAACACAAUACAAAAAGAGAUUGAAUCGGGGAAUUUCACCUUUUCCGCCAAGCUCGAAGAUAUCCACAUGCAUAUUGAGUCCCGGCUUAUCGAAUUGGCGGGGGGGC
This 288-nucleotide ribosomal RNA is filed under the name uncultured prokaryote. RNAcentral's name for it is "partial 16S ribosomal RNA". The record is from RNAcentral.